AUUAUUGCCCAGUACUUUGUUGAGAUUGCUACUGACUUCUUCCCUUAAUCAGAUUACUAAACAUUGCUUUUAAGUUGCUUGACUUCCAACGUUUCCACAUUCCCCCAUCCUCUGACUCUCUCUCUCUUUCACCUGAACAUGAAAUUUCUGAUACUAACCUCCGGCUGCCUCUGAAUGAUCUAUCGAUUAUCAUCCCAGUCAUCGGCGUCUCGUCGCGGCCACUGACUGAAAGUCGGCCAUGGGCCCGGGUAAAACGAGGAUGACCGGUGAUACCCAACAAAAGCCCACCAGAAGAGAGCUUCGGUUCAACUAUUCGACUGAUUUUCAUUUUCUGGUCCUACUGUCACCACCAACGCGCCACCAUCCGUGCCGUCUCCACCGACUACUCAAAUAUGGCGGCGAUGAACUCUGUUCGUAUCGACGCUGCCAAGAUGACAUCGAUUAACGAUCUUGCCUCCAGAAGCUGUUACGAUUUCAAGACCUAACCAUCACAUUCGGAAACUGCCACUCUACAUUCAAGUGCAUGUGAAAGCUGAUAUGAGGAAAAUGACAAGCUGAACACUAGUAACAUAUGGAUUUUGGAUUACAGAUCGGAUAAAAGGGGACAGUGGACACUUAACCAAAUUAUGAGGAACUAUAGAAGUCGUACAGAAUGUAUGGGGGAUAUACAAAGGCUAAAUGCAUCUUUUCUUGCAAUUUAUGUGUCACUGAUUCCACCGGAAGAAGAGAAGGAUAAAACAGAAGCAAUUGAUGGCAUUAUUGGAUAAACAUGUUACAAAAGAAUGGCCUAAAGCUCGAUUGUUUCCUUAUGGAUCAUGUGCAGAUAUUGACAAAGCAUAGAUUUUUUUUGAAGCUUCCUUAUAUUUUAAAAUCUGAUAAUCUUGGGAAUGUUCAAGUAAUUCUCUUGAAGGGUAAAUUGAUCUUUUUAGGUUCUGUUUUCAAAACAAAUUCAAUCAAUCUCAUUAUCUUAAACAUGAAUCCUAAAAUUAAGCAAAACAUAAUCAAUUCUCAGUUCUCAAAAUCUCAAUUUUUUUUCAAAACAGAAUAUUGUGAUUGCUGAAUUUGAUGUCCAUGUGUCUUCGCAAGAUCCCCCCCCCCCCACUCUCCCUUUUAGUCUAACCUUUUAAGCUUUUCAUGUAUUCUAUAUAUAUAUCCUAUUAUAAAAGCUAUUGAUUUGUAUUGUUUCAUGUUCAUGUUAUCUGUGGGUGUCGGAAUUUAAAGUGUGAGGUCCAUAUUUUGGUGUUAGAGGCUGAAACUGGAGAAGGAAAAGAGAGUCUAUGGAGGGAGAUGCAGGGAGAGACUUGGAAGUCCAGGGAAGUUUGGAUGGGAGGGUGAAUGAACCAUCUUGUUGCCUUAAAGCAAGAGCUUUCCCUAUUGAUUCAGAGCUUGAAGCCAAUUGUCAUGUAACAUUUGUUUCUGGAUGGUUCUCUGAUAAAGGUGGAAAAAGCAUGUACUUUAACAACCUCAUGUGGCUAGCUAAUUUAAGCUAGGGUUCAUAUAUGUUGAAUAUGCAACCUGAGUUUCCUUUUGUGAAUAAUAAAUAUCAGGAGAAGCACAUUCCUUGGAAGUAGAAAAGAUUUUGUUCAAGGAAAAAUCAGAGUACCAGGAGGUUGUAGUUUUUGA
Molecule: RNA transcript, 1623 nt
Organism: Lactuca sativa (garden lettuce)
Lineage: Eukaryota; Viridiplantae; Streptophyta; Magnoliopsida; Asterales; Asteraceae
Source: RefSeq, a predicted model, not a curated record